This 463-nucleotide ribosomal RNA is filed under the name uncultured bacterium. Its description in RNAcentral is "bacterial SSU rRNA". It matches the Rfam family "Bacterial small subunit ribosomal RNA", at positions 917 to 1382 of the family's 1533-position model. The record is from RNAcentral.
GGGCCCGCACAAGCGGAGGAACAUGUGGUUUAAUUCGAUGAUACGCGAGGAACCUUACCCGGGCUUAAAUUGCACUGGACAGACUCAGAGAUGGGUUUUUCUUCGGACCAGUGUGAAGGUGCUGCAUGGUUGUCGUCAGCUCGUGCCGUGAGGUGUCGGCUUAAGUGCCAUAACGAGCGCAACCCUUGCUUCCAGUUACCAUCAGGUGAUGCUGGGGACUCUGGAAGGACUGCCAUCGUAAGAUGUGAGGAAGGUGGGGAUGACGUCAAAUCAGCACGGCCCUUACGUCCGGGGCUACACACGUGUUACAAUGGGGGGUACAGCAGGUCGCUACCUGGUGACAGGACGCUAAUCCGUAAAACCCCUCUCAGUUCGGACUGGAGUCUGCAACCCGACUCCACGAAGCUGGAUUCGCUAGUAAUCGCGCAUCAGCCACGGCGCGGUGAAUACGUUCCCGGGCCUU